Molecule: ribosomal RNA, 588 nt
Filed under: uncultured bacterium
Lineage: Bacteria
Description: bacterial SSU rRNA
Rfam family: Bacterial small subunit ribosomal RNA
Source: RNAcentral
UCCUACGGGAGGCAGCAGGGGGGAAUCUUUCGCAAUGGACGCAAGUCUGACGAAGCAACGCCGCGUGAGUGAGGAAGGCCCUUUGGGUUGUAAAGCUCUGUUGCCGGGGAAGAAAGUUAGUGUAAGGAAAUGUGCAUUAAUUGACGGUACCCGGUGAGGAAGCACUGGCUAACUACGUGCCAGCAGCCGCGGUAAUACGUAGAGUGCAAGCGUUGUCCGGAAUCAUUGGGCGUAAAGGGUACGCAGGCGGAUAUACAAGUCAAAUGUGAAAGGUGUAGGCUUAACCUACAGACUGCGUUUGAAACUGUAUAUCUUGAGAGCAGCAGAGGAAGGCGGAAUUCCUGGUGUGGUGGUGAAAUACGUAGAUAUCAGGAAGAACACCAGUGGCGAAGGCGGUCUUCUGGGCUGCAUCUGACGCUCAUGUACGAAAGCUGGGGUAGCGAACGGGAUUAGAUACCCCGGUAGUCCCAGCUGUAAACGAUGGACACUAGGUGUUGGAGGUUCGAAUCCUUCAGUGCCGGAGUUAACGCAUUAAGUGUCCCGCCUGGGGAAUACGGUCGCAAGACUGAAACGUAAAGGAAUUGACGG